This 1030-nucleotide ribosomal RNA is filed under the name Brevibacterium sp. RNAcentral describes it as "bacterial SSU rRNA". It matches the Rfam family "Bacterial small subunit ribosomal RNA", at positions 49 to 1081 of the family's 1533-position model. The record is from RNAcentral. Lineage: Bacteria; Bacillati; Actinomycetota; Actinomycetes; Micrococcales; Brevibacteriaceae.
UUACACAUGCAGUCGAACGCUGANAGCCCGCAACUUGCUGUGGGUGGAUGAGUGGCGAACGGGUGAGUAACACGUGAGUAACCUGCCCUUCACUCUGGGAUAAGCGCUGGAAACGGCGUCUAAUACCGGAUACGACCAGUCCUCGCAUGGGGUGCUGGUGGAAAGCUCCGGCGGUGAAGGAUGGACUCGCGGCCUAUCAGCUUGUUGGUGGGGUAAUGGCCUACCAAGGCGACGACGGGUAGCCGGCCUGAGAGGGCGACCGGCCACACUGGGACUGAGACACGGCCCAGACUCCUACGGGAGGCAGCAGUGGGGAAUAUUGCACAAUGGGCGCAAGCCUGAUGCAGCGACGCCGCGUGAGGGAUGACGGCCUUCGGGUUGUAAACCUCUUUCAGUUGGGACGAAGCCAGCUUGCUGGUGACGGUACCUUCAGAAGAAGCACCGGCUAACUACGUGCCAGCAGCCGCGGUAAUACGUAGGGUGCAAGCGUUGUCCGGAAUUAUUGGGCGUAAAGAGCUCGUAGGUGGUUUGUCGCGUCUGCUGUGAAAACCUCCCGCUCAACGGGGGGCCUGCAGUGGGUACGGGCAGACUAGAGUGCAGUAGAGGAGUCUGGAAUUCCUGGUGUAGCGGUGGAAUGCGCAGAUAUCAGGAGGAACACCGGUGGCGAAGGCGGGACUCUGGGCUGUUACUGACGCUGAGGAGCGAAAGCAUGGGGAGCGAACAGGAUUAGAUACCCUGGUAGUCCAUGCCGUAAACGUUGGGCACUAGGUGUGGGGUCCAUUCCACGGAUUCCGUGCCGUAGCUAACGCAUUAAGUGCCCCGCCUGGGGAGUACGGCCGCAAGGCUAAAACUCAAAGGAAUUGACGGGGGCCCGCACAAGCGGCGGAGCAUGCGGAUUAAUUCGAUGCAACGCGAAGAACCUUACCAAGGCUUGACAUACACCGGUAACGGCCAGAGAUGGUCGCCCCCUUGUGGUCGGUGUACAGGUGGUGCAUGGUUGUCGUCAGCUCCUGUCCUGAGAUGUUGGGUU